CUUAACAAGCAACUUCCUAUGACACAGUGAAGAGGAAAUUGGCUUGAGGAAAUGGAACCCAGAAGCAGUUGUGUGUGGAUGACUCCAUCCUGGGAAGCGCAGACCAGCUCUCCAGGAGAUUGCACUGUGGUGCUUAUGAAGUGGAUGUUAGACACCCGUGCUCCCAGUUGUUAGUUUCAUCGCACAGUGAACAUCAAGGUCCCAGAGGUGACAGGAACAGCAGCGUGAUUGCCAUGGACAAUGGCGUGAACCUCUUUCUGGUCUAGAAAUAUGGCAAUGGGAGUUAUUUGUGUUGGCUAGGCAGAGAGCUGCGUAUUUUCAGAUUCUUUCACUCAUUUGCAUCAUCCUAAAGCUUUGAAGUUACUUUGGUGGCCUCUUUCUCAUUUAUUUGGAAUGCAGCAAGGAUUUCUCUGCAGGCUUGUUGCGGACAGCCUCUCACUGAACUUUUCUGAGAACAGGCAUGCAAAUGGCGUGUUUCAUGUCUGGUUCAGCCAUUGAUUUGGGCAUGUGAUAUUUCCUGGAACAUUGUGUCCUGAAUAAAACAAAAGGCUCCAAAAUGCAAUCUCAGAAAUGGACUAUUUAAAUGUCCCUGAAUGAGGAAGCACAGUCCAAUUAUUUCUGUCUCCUGGAGUACACAGAAUGUACAAAUCUAUAGCUGGAGGGUUAGUGCUUGACUUGAAGAAAUGUUACAUUUUAGAAAAAUUCCUUUUGAGAAUAAAUAGAAAAUAUAAAGCAUGACAUCUGAAAAAUUGCUUGCUUAAAAUGGCC
Octodon degus (degu) is the source of this 768-nucleotide long non-coding RNA. RefSeq lists it as uncharacterized. The transcript has 3 exons. The record is from RefSeq and is a predicted model, not a curated record. NCBI's taxonomy places the organism in Eukaryota, Metazoa, Chordata, Mammalia, Rodentia, Octodontidae.